GCUGGAGGUAUCAGAAGUGCGAAUGCUGACAUAAGUAACGAUAAAGCGGGUGAAAAGCCCGCUCGCCGGAAGACCAAGGGUUCCUGUCCAACGUUAAUCGGGGCAGGGUGAGUCGACCCCUAAGGCGAGGCCGAAAGGCGUAGUCGAUGGGAAACGGGUUAAUAUUCCCGUACUUGGUGUUACUGCGAAGGGGGGACGGAGAAGGCUAUGUUGGCCGGGCGACGGUUGUCCCGGUUUAAGCGUGUAGGUGUGUGUUCCAGGUAAAUCCGGUUCACUUUAACACUGAGGCGUGACGACGAGGCACUACGGUGCUGAAGCAACAAAUGCCCUGCUUCCAGGAAAAGCCUCUAAGCAUCAGGUAACAUCAAAUCGUACCCCAAACCGACACAGGUGGUCAGGUAGAGAAUACCAAGGCGCUUGAGAGAACUCGGGUGAAGGAACUAGGCAAAAUGGUGCCGUAACUUCGGGAGAAGGCACGCUGACACGUAGGUGAAGUGAUUUACUCAUGGAGCUGAAGUCAGUCGAAGAUACCAGCUGGCUGCAACUGUUUAUUAAAAACACAGCACUGUGCAAACACGAAAGUGGACGUAUACGGUGUGACGCCUGCCCGGUGCCGGAAGGUUAAUUGAUGGGGUCAGCGCAAGCGAAGCUCCUGAUCGAAGCCCCGGUAAACGGCGGCCGUAACUAUAACGGUCCUAAGGUAGCGAAAUUCCUUGUCGGGUAAGUUCCGACCUGCACGAAUGGCGUAAUGAUGGCCAGGCUGUCUCCACCCGAGACUCAGUGAAAUUGAACUCGCUGUGAAGAUGCAGUGUACCCGCGGCAAGACGGAAAGACCCCGUGAACCUUUACUAUAGCUUGACACUGAACAUUGAGCCUUGAUGUGUAGGAUAGGUGGGAGGCUUUGAAGUGUGGACGCCAGUCUGCAUGGAGCCGACCUUGAAAUACCACCCUUUAAUGUUUGAUGUUCUAACGUGGACCCGUUACCCGGGUUGCGGACAGUGUCUGGUGGGUAGUUUGACUGGGGCGGUCUCCUCCUAAAGAGUAACGGAGGAGCACGAAGGUUGGCUAAUCCUGGUCGGACAUCAGGAGGUUAGUGCAAUGGCAUAAGCCAGCUUGACUGCGAGCGUGACGGCGCGAGCAGGUGCGAAAGCAGGUCAUAGUGAUCCGGUGGUUCUGAAUGGAAGGGCCAUCGCUCAACGGAUAAAAGGUACUCCGGGGAUAACAGGCUGAUACCGCCCAAGAGUUCAUAUCGACGGCGGUGUUUGGCACCUCGAUGUCGGCUCAUCACAUCCUGGGGCUGAAGUAGGUCCCAAGGGUAUGGCUGUUCGCCAUUUAAAGUGGUACGCGAGCUGGGUUUAGAACGUCGUGAGACAGUUCGGUCCCUAUCUGCCGUGGGCGCUGGAGAACUGAGGGGGGCUGCUCCUAGUACGAGAGGACCGGAGUGGACGCAUCACUGGUGUUCGGGUUGUCAUGCCAAUGGCACUGCCCGGUAGCUAAAUGCGGAAGAGAUAAGUGCUGAAAGCAUCUAAGCACGAAACUUGCCCCGAG
This 1548-nucleotide ribosomal RNA is filed under the name Salmonella enterica subsp. enterica. RNAcentral describes it as "partial 23S ribosomal RNA". It matches the Rfam family "Bacterial large subunit ribosomal RNA", at positions 1272 to 2803 of the family's 2925-position model. RNAcentral also lists the same sequence under 1 other name. The record is from RNAcentral. Lineage: Bacteria; Pseudomonadati; Pseudomonadota; Gammaproteobacteria; Enterobacterales; Enterobacteriaceae.